CCUGUUUGAGCUCUCUUCAUGUUCCAUAAUAUCCUUAAAAAUCAGUGCCCAGAUCAGCACCACGUGUUCAAGAAAGCGUGUUCAUCACUGACCGUGACAUGAUCUGCAGCAGAUUAUUUAUUCUUUUUGUCCUUACGCCAUUACAGAUAGCUCUGACUUCACCCACUAAAUGAAUUACAACUAAAAUGUGGGGAUAUGAAUGAUGUCUAUUUGGCCAUUGUCUUCAUUGAUUUAU
Molecule: non-coding RNA, 235 nt
Organism: Pelobates cultripes (western spadefoot toad)
Lineage: Eukaryota; Metazoa; Chordata; Amphibia; Anura; Pelobatidae
Source: the annotation of a GenBank genome assembly